UCCGGCAGAAGCCAUAUCACUCUGCAACUCACAACUGGCAGACCACUGAAGCUCAGCAGGUGUGAGCCUGGUCAGUACCUGGAUGGCAGACCUCCUGGGAAAAACUAAGGUUGCUGCUGGAA
Non-coding RNA from Lepisosteus oculatus (spotted gar), 122 nucleotides. The record is from Rfam. Lineage: Eukaryota; Metazoa; Chordata; Actinopteri; Semionotiformes; Lepisosteidae.